GGCCUGAUGGUCUAGUAGCAUGAUUCUCCCUUCGGGAUAUCCCCUCGUAGAUACGAGAAAUUUGGGAGAGGUCCCGGGUUCAAUUCCCGGUCAGGCCC
This is a non-coding RNA of Lentinula edodes (shiitake mushroom), 98 nucleotides long. NCBI's taxonomy places the organism in Eukaryota, Fungi, Basidiomycota, Agaricomycetes, Agaricales, Omphalotaceae. The record is from the annotation of a RefSeq genome assembly.